RNAcentral lists this ribosomal RNA (468 nucleotides) under uncultured bacterium. RNAcentral describes it as "partial 16S ribosomal RNA". It matches the Rfam family "Bacterial small subunit ribosomal RNA", at positions 28 to 507 of the family's 1533-position model. The record is from RNAcentral.
GACGAACGCUGGCGGCGUGCUUAACACAUGCAAGUCGAACGGAAAGGCCCUGCUUUUGUGGGGUGCUCGAGUGGCGAACGGGUGAGUAACACGUGAGUAAACUGCCCUUGUCUUUGGGAUAACUUCAGGAAACUGGGGCUAAUACCGGAUAGGAGCUCCUGCUGCAUGGUGGGGGUUGGAAAGUUUCGGCGGUUGGGGAUGGACUCGCGGCUUAUCAGCUUGUUGGUGGGGUAGUGGCUUACCAAGGCUUUGACGGGUAGCCGGCCUGAGAGGGUGACCGGCGACAUUGGGACUGAGAUACGGCCCAGACUCCUACGGGAGGCAGCAGUGGGGAAUAUGGCACAAUGGGCGGAAGCCUGAUGCAGCAACGCCGCGUGCGGGAUGACGGCCUUCGGGUGGUAAACAGCUGUCGCCUGUGACGAAGCGGGAGUGACGGUAAUGGGUAAAGAAGCACCGGCUAACUACGUG